CCUUUCUCUGCCAGAGAAGAGCGAAAGAGGUCUGUGGCUUGGGUUUCAAAGUUCAUCUGAGGGAAUUUACAAGGUAUCCUCUAACUACAAUGAUCCAAUAUCGGCAUGAAUUGCCACUUGACCCUUCCAAACUUCUAAAUAUUAUUCAUGUCAACCAUUCUAGAAUAAGUCACUCUGAAUGAAAUGAUACGGGCAUGUGUUUAACACAAAAAGAAUUUUAACAUUAACUAUAAUUCAGGAAGCUGAACUCAAUUACCUGCCGGAAGAAAACUGCCCAGUAUUCGAAAAUUAACAAAAUUACACAAGCUGUAUAUAUACCUACAAGACUAUAAUGGUAAGGGCCUAAUUGGCAUGGGGAGAGCUCUCUGGUGGCUUGUUUCCAUAGAGCCUUCUCAUCCAUUUCUGCUGUGAUGUAGUGAACCGUGUAUGAAGUGUAGAAGCUCCUUUUCCUGGAAGUUCAGCAGGGAGUGCAGCAGCAGUGCUUGUAAAGGCAUUUAGAACCAGGAAAGCUAGAAUCGGAGAAAGAUCCAGUGUCCCUCCCAGUGGUGGGAUGAUUCCACGGAAUAUGUUCAGGUAUGGAUCACACAAAGUGCUGAAUUCACAUUUACAUUAAAAACAUAUAUAAAUAUUCAAAUAGAAAAUGUACUUGACAAGAAAAGGCAAUCAUUCAUCUUGUUGAAUAAUCAAAUGCAUUGGACCAACUUCAAUUCUUAUCAAGAUUUUUAGAUUUUCCAUUGUUGAAUGUGAGAUAUGUACAAUGCUUCUAGAGCUCUUCAUCAUCAUCAUAUCAAAUCAAAAGGGGAAAGAUUUUAAUUUAUCAAUGAAUCAUAUACAGUACUAGUCUUGGAUCAUGACAAGUUCAAUAUCUUAGAAAAAUUUCAACGAGUUUAGGAAAUGCACCUGAG
Molecule: long non-coding RNA, 905 nt
Filed under: Ricinus communis (castor bean)
Lineage: Eukaryota; Viridiplantae; Streptophyta; Magnoliopsida; Malpighiales; Euphorbiaceae
Description: long non-coding RNA (RCOM_LNC000685)
Source: RNAcentral